UCCUCCCUCUUUCUUCGUGCUUAACACAUGCAAGUCGAACGGAAAGUCCCUGCUUUUGUGGGGUGCUCGAGUGGCGAACGGGUGAGUAACACGUGAGUAACCUGCCCUUGACUUUGGGAUAACUUCAGGAAACUGGGGCUAAUACCGGAUAGGAGCUCCUGCUGCAUGGUGGGGGUUGGAAAGUUUCGGCGGUUGGGGAUGGACUCGCGGCUUAUCAGCUUGUUGGUGGGGUAGUGGCUUACCAAGGCUUUGACGGGUAGCCUGCCUGAGAGGGUGACCGGCCACGUUGGGACUGAGCUGCGGCCCAGACUCCUACGGGAGGCAGCAGUGGGGAAUAUUGCAUAAUGGGCGGAAGCCUGAUCCAGCAACGCCGCGUGCGGGAUGUCGGCCUUCGGGUUGGAAACCGCUUUCGCCUGUGACGAAGCGUGAGUGACGGUAAUGGGUAAAGAAGCACCGGCUAACUACGUG
RNAcentral lists this ribosomal RNA (468 nucleotides) under uncultured bacterium. RNAcentral's name for it is "partial 16S ribosomal RNA". It matches the Rfam family "Bacterial small subunit ribosomal RNA", at positions 36 to 507 of the family's 1533-position model. The record is from RNAcentral.